RNAcentral lists this ribosomal RNA (800 nucleotides) under uncultured Pseudomonas sp. RNAcentral describes it as "bacterial SSU rRNA". It matches the Rfam family "Bacterial small subunit ribosomal RNA", at positions 15 to 811 of the family's 1533-position model. Lineage: Bacteria; Pseudomonadati; Pseudomonadota; Gammaproteobacteria; Pseudomonadales; Pseudomonadaceae. The record is from RNAcentral.
GAUCCUGGCUCAAUUGAACGCUGGCGGCAGGCCUAACACAUGCAAGUCGAGCGGUAGAGAGAAGCCUGCUUCUCUUGAGAGCGGCGGACGGGUGAGUAAUGCCUAGGAAUCUGCCUGGUAGUGGGGGAUAACGUUCGGAAACGGACGCUAAUACCGCAUACGUCCUACGGGAGAAAGCAGGGGACCUUCGGGCCUUGCGCUAUCAGAUGAGCCUAGGUCGGAUUAGCUAGUUGGUGAGGUAAUGGCUCACCAAGGCGACGAUCCGUAACUGGUCUGAGAGGAUGAUCAGUCACACUGGAACUGAGACACGGUCCAGACUCCUACGGGAGGCAGCAGUGGGGAAUAUUGGACAAUGGGCGAAAGCCUGAUCCAGCCAUGCCGCGUGUGUGAAGAAGGUCUUCGGAUUGUAAAGCACUUUAAGUUGGGAGGAAGGGUUGUAGAUUAAUACUCUGCAAUUUUGACGUUACCGACAGAAUAAGCACCGGCUAACUCUGUGCCAGCAGCCGCGGUAAUACAGAGGGUGCAAGCGUUAAUCGGAAUUACUGGGCGUAAAGCGCGCGUAGGUGGUUUGUUAAGUUGGAUGUGAAAGCCCCGGGCUCAACCUGGGAACUGCAUUCAAAACUGACAAGCUAGAGUAUGGUAGAGGGUGGUGGAAUUUCCUGUGUAGCGGUGAAAUGCGUAGAUAUAGGAAGGAACACCAGUGGCGAAGGCGACCACCUGGACUGAUACUGACACUGAGGUGCGAAAGCGUGGGGAGCAAACAGGAUUAGAUACCCUGGUAGUCCACGCCGUAAACGAUG